AUACGGAGGGUGCAAGCGUUACUCGGAAUCACUGGGCGUAAAGCGCGCGCAGGCGGGCUGAUAAGUUGGAUGUGAAAGCCUACGGCUCAACCGUAGAACUGCAUCCAAAACUGUCAGUCUAGAGUGUGGGAGAGGAAGAUGGAAUUAGUUGUGUAGGGGUAAAAUCCGUAGAGAUAACUAGGAAUACCAAAAGCGAAGGCAAUCUUCUGGAACACUUCUGACGCUGAGGCGCGAAGGCGUGGGGAGCAAACAGGAUUAGAUACCCGGGUAGUCC
RNAcentral lists this ribosomal RNA (274 nucleotides) under uncultured bacterium. RNAcentral's name for it is "partial 16S ribosomal RNA". It matches the Rfam family "Bacterial small subunit ribosomal RNA", at positions 523 to 796 of the family's 1533-position model. The record is from RNAcentral.